UAAUUUACGUAUUUGCUCUUACAAUGUUUCUUUAUUUACUAAAAAUCCCUAAUCCUAAUUUCGAUUGACGCAGCUUCUCUGGACGCAGUUUCCAUCUCUCGUCCCUCUUGUCUCCAUUGACGCAUUCCGAGCUCAGACGAACUCCAUAGACACAUCUCGAUCUUAGACAUCUCUCUCUCUCUCUCUCUCUCUCUCUCUAAUCUCACCUCGAAGCUCUCUUCUCCGAGGUCAUCUCAUUUCGAAUCUCUCUCUUCUCCAUAGCAUCUCGAGCUCGACUAAACCCAUCUCAUCCUUUUCUCGUUGAGGCUAAGAACCCAGAUAUUGAGAAGUGCUUAGAGGUUGUUGCCACUUUGGAAGCAAGGACGGUACUGGUGAGGUUCGUUGUUAAUUUUUGGAGAUACAGUUUAAGAAUGAUGCCAAUACCUCACACUGGAAUCUUAUUAAGAAAGGGUAUUGUGUAAGCCGACAACGCUUCAAGCAACAGGAGUGGCGUCAAGCUUGGUGGAGACUAUACAAGGAGUUUGCAGGCUAGAUCGACCUCUAUUCUCAGUAUCUUCUUGGAGAUGCAGGAAGUGAAAGAAGAUGAAUGAUAUAAAAACUUGUGUGUUCUCUUUUGUUUAUGAGAGCAGGGUUCCUUUCUUUUGUUAUACAUAGGGACACAAUGUUAGUUCAUUUAGGUUUGAUCCAGCUUAUACGAAAACCGGUCUGUUCAACAUGGUCUCAAAACACAAAACUGUUGCAAAUAAAUAAAAAUUUGACUUUCUCUCAGCA
Long non-coding RNA from Raphanus sativus (radish), 771 nucleotides. RefSeq lists it as uncharacterized. The transcript has 3 exons. The record is from RefSeq and is a predicted model, not a curated record. Lineage: Eukaryota; Viridiplantae; Streptophyta; Magnoliopsida; Brassicales; Brassicaceae.